Molecule: ribosomal RNA, 585 nt
Filed under: uncultured bacterium
Lineage: Bacteria
Description: bacterial SSU rRNA
Rfam family: Bacterial small subunit ribosomal RNA
Source: RNAcentral
CCUACGGGAGGCAGCAGUGGGGAAUUUUGGACAAUGGGCGAAAGCCUGAUCCAGCCAUUCCGCGUGCAGGAUGAAGGCCCUCGGGUUGUAAACUGCUUUUGUACAGAACGAAAAGGUUUCUAUUAAUACUAGGAGCUCAUGACGGUACUGUAAGAAUAAGCACCGGCUAACUACGUGCCAGCAGCCGCGGUAAUACGUAGGGUGCAAGCGUUAAUCGGAAUUACUGGGCGUAAAGCGUGCGCAGGCGGUUAUAUAAGUCAGAUGUGAAAUCCCCGGGCUCAACCUGGGAACUGCAUUUGAGACUGUAUAGCUAGAGUACGGUAGAGGGGGAUGGAAUUCCGCGUGUAGCAGUGAAAUGCGUAGAUAUGCGGAGGAACACCGAUGGCGAAGGCAAUCCCCUGGACCUGUACUGACGCUCAUGCACGAAAGCGUGGGGAGCAAACAGGAUUAGAUACCCUGGUAGUCCACGCCCUAAACGAUGUCAACUGGUUGUUGGGUCUUAACUGACUCAGUAACGAAGCUAACGCGUGAAGUUGACCGCCUGGGGAGUACGGCCGCAAGGUUGAAACUCGAAAGGAUUGACGG